ACUACGGGUGGCAGCAGUGGGGAAUAUUGCACAAUGGGGGGAACCCUGAUGCAGCGACGCCGCGUGAGUGAAGAAGUAUUUCGGUAUGUAAAGCUCUAUCAGCAGGGAAGAAAAUGACGGUACCUGACUAAGAAGCCCCGGCUAACUACGUGCCAGCAGCCGCGGUAAUACGUAGGGGGCAAGCGUUAUCCGGAUUUACUGGGUGUAAAGGGAGCGCAGACGGCGGUGCAAGUCUGGAGUGAAAGGCGGGGGCCCAACCCCCGGACUGCUCUGGAAAAUGUAAAGCUGGAGUGCAGGAGAGGUAAGCGGAAUUCCUAGUGUAGCGGUGAAAUGCGUAGAUAUUAGGAGGAACACCAGUGGCGAAGGCGGCUUACUGGACUGCAACUGACGUUGAGGCUCGAAAGCGUGGGGAGCAAACAGGAUUAGAUACCCGAGUAGUC
RNAcentral lists this ribosomal RNA (440 nucleotides) under uncultured bacterium. RNAcentral's name for it is "partial 16S ribosomal RNA". It matches the Rfam family "Bacterial small subunit ribosomal RNA", at positions 338 to 795 of the family's 1533-position model. The record is from RNAcentral.